CAACUAUUUUUUUCCAGAAUUUCCAUCUAGGUAUUUUUAUUGGCAUCUUUAUCAGGACGUACACAUCUCGAUAAUGUUGGCAUAACAUUGGCAGAACGAUCUAUUUAAGUCUGGUUCUAUUAUGUGCACUGGGUCUUGGCAGGAGUUUCCCCCUCCAGAGGCCAGCGAACAAACGUCACAGGCCCGGAUCUUCAACUCC
This 199-nucleotide long non-coding RNA is filed under the name Phascolarctos cinereus (koala). Its description in RNAcentral is "lncRNA (ENSPCIG00000035678.1)". The record is from RNAcentral. Lineage: Eukaryota; Metazoa; Chordata; Mammalia; Diprotodontia; Phascolarctidae.